ACAGGGAAAGUUUUAAUGCCAAAAGAUGAGCCCGCACUUGAUUAGCUAGUUGGUAAGGUAAAGGCUUACCAAGGCAACGAUCAAUAGCUGUUCUUAGAGGAAGACCAGCCACAUUGGGACUGAGACACGGCCCAAACUCCUACGGGAGGCAGCAGUGGGGAAUCUUGCACAAUGGGGGAAACCCUGAUGCAGCGAUGCCGCGUGAGUGAA
Molecule: ribosomal RNA, 210 nt
Filed under: uncultured bacterium
Lineage: Bacteria
Description: partial 16S ribosomal RNA
Rfam family: Bacterial small subunit ribosomal RNA
Source: RNAcentral